Molecule: long non-coding RNA, 2084 nt
Filed under: Homo sapiens (human)
Lineage: Eukaryota; Metazoa; Chordata; Mammalia; Primates; Hominidae
Description: HSALNT0372596
Source: RNAcentral
AAGUGAUUCUCCUGCCUCAGCUUCCUGAGUAGCUGGGAUUACAGAGGUUGGAAAAGUGAGGUCCAGAGAGGCUUAGCUGGCUGAGUGUGACUGAGAAGAAAAGGCUUGGGGCUGCAAACUCCACAGAGAUAAAGGGGCUACUGCUAUCUUGCUUUGGUAGUUACAGUAAAUCAAGAUAAAGACACCAGUCUGCUUGGACUUGUGGAGAGGUAGCAAACAGUCCACAGACAGUUUGCUCAUUUCGGAAGAAAGCUCCUGACUGAGGUUCUUUAGAUGCGUUUAACGGAGGGACAGCUGUGCAGAAGCAUCACUGUCUCACUCUUUUCCAGACUGAUCAAAUGAAGCGUCUGUCAUGUCACACAUAUGGAGUUCUCUACCAACAGCAAAGGCUAUUUAGUCAAGUUCUACAGAUCAAAAGUCUAACACUGGUGUUAUUGGGCUGAAAUCCAGGCGAUGGCAGAGCUGCGCUCCUUUCUGGAGGCUCCGGGGAGAAUUCUCUUCCUUAACCUUUCAAGCUUCUCGAGGCCCUCUGCACUCCCUGGAGACAGGAGGAGAGAAGAAUCAUGGACUCCCUGGGCACAGCACCGCAGGUGGCUUUGCCAGUUCUCCCAGCCCCGCGCUGCUCCUGCGCCUGCGCUGAGCCUCCACGUGUCCUCAGGAGACUUAGCCUAGCCUGGGUAUCACCAGCAGUGGGCCAGGCCGCUUUGCCUUCAACUCCCAACAGUAACCUUGCAGAGGUCAGCCUGGGGCCACCAGGAGGAGUUAGUAAGAGCUUAUCCUGUGGGGGCACUCACUGGGGCUGGUGGCCGGGAAAUCCCAGGUGUUUUGUUGGUUUGAGUUUUGUUGUGUUUUUAUUUUUCUUCCGCUGAGAUCAGGACUGAAGCAGGGACGCAGUGCUCAGCACGCCCAGCCCACCGCGGGCCACUGCGCGGAGAACCUCUGCCAGGGUCGCCUGCUCACGUCCCCUAAUCCGCUCCUGGCGCGCGUUCCUGUCCUCCUCCUGCUGUGACUAGUGUGCAUGGAAGGGCACAGUGGUGGCAGAAAGACUUGUGGCGAGAUAUCAAGAUCCACAGGAAGUCAUAAGAGAAAAAGCAUUUUGUUUGAACUCCACCCACUGACCUUUUGUGGGUGAGCUUUCGGUGAAACAGCAACAUCCUCAGAAAUCUUAGAGACACGGCUUUGUAACCCGGGGGAGAGACACCGCUUCCAAAUAUAAUUGACGUGGCUUUCCUGCCUUAAUUCGGGGUAUCCUUUUUCCACCACAUAAUCUUCCCUUUGUCCGCGCUGAUUCCUGUUUAGUUUGGCAGGGCCAGCUGCUGGCAGGCUCCCCCAGUGCUGAAUGCUCCGCGCUCCACUGUGCUGGGCCUGCUGAAAAAGCAGACAGCGCUCCCUCUCCCCCAGAAUCAGGAGCCAAAUGCCACACCGAUUGUGCAACUUGUCUCUGGUUACCAGGAAAACGUAAAGAAAUGCCAAUGAAGCAGAAAGGUCGACAAAAUUCUUUCCAACGCUUGAACAAAAAAGGUAUUUUUAGGGCCCUAGAUUUAUGGAAGUCAAUUCUUCCACUCCUCGCCAGGCUUUCAAACCUCCUAUUCUUUGCACUACAUUAUUUGAAUAAACCGUAAAUACCCUUAGUUGCUCUAAUAGCAACUGCUGGUCCAUAUUGUGCAAGGCGGCCAUGGUCUGAAGACCUUGUUGAAUUUGAAAGACAGAAGUUCCGUUUCUGGCACAUAAACUUGAAUCAGGGCUAUAGUUAAGAGUGCCAGUGAGGUCCACAUUUUGACAGCUAGAUAAGCAGGUCAUUUAUUCAAAAGGACUUUGAAUCCAUGCCCAGAGUCAAAUGCAGUCCUUUGUAAAGCCCAGCAGGCUUGAAAUAAAAACUUCUUAACUGAGUUGAUCAGUGUCCUGCAUUUUAGGGGUCAGGAAAGUAUUUAUGAUAAGUUGGAAAUGGACAGGGCAGGAAAUUCUGGGCCUGGAAGGAUGGCUUCCUCACCAGGGACCGCACCACCAUAUUUUCUAAUUUGUGUCUUGAGGGAAAGUUUAUAUUUUUUGCUGAAAAUAUUAUCUCCUUGUGACAAAACCACAAG